AAAUAGUAGAAAAUAUUUAUUCAGAACUCAUCGUUACCAGAUCAUACUUAGCUUUUGGUAUCUCUCUUUAAAUAUAACUCGCAUUUGAAUUGCCCAUGAAACCUCCAUUUUUCAACUCUUUUUGAUCUUAUUAAGACAGCCCGAAACAAGUCUUUUCAAAUCUCCUGGAAGCCUUUCUUCUACCGAAAUCUUUUCAAGCCAAUUAGAGGUCAGAGGCUCGUUUUACGGCGUUUCGAAUCGGAAGUGAUACAAACACGAAUACAAAAUUCUUCAUGAUCAAAAUCAUCAUGCCCCGACAACCGAAAACCUUUGCGGCACAACUUUAAUCGCUUGCCGAGUCAUCAAACGAGGUGCAACGGAGAUGACACCUUGAAAAUGGAAUACAGAAAGAACCUGGAGCCGGGGAACCUCAUGCCACAAAGAAAGCGGUCAAUUUAACACAAUGAUAUAACGAGCUGAACUUGAAAUUGUUAAUGCUCUUAGCCCUGGUUGGGUAGACACUGCAGAGUUCACUUAUUAAGUCAUUACCUCAAUUAGAAGAGGAAACAAUGCACAUAUGGGUCCUUAACGAUAUGAUCAAAUACACAAAGCCAUCUCAUGUGGGUAUGGCUUACUAAUUUCCUUUUAAUUGCAACUUUCCAGCGACUUGUUUUGAGCUGUGCAACCAAAACGCAUCUGCAAUUACUCGUCCCCCGCGGCCGAACUGGCCCGGAGAUGUCUUUUCGGUGUCGACUUUGCCUUUAUAAAUAUGCAGAAAUUAGUGGCGAACAAAUCUUGUGCAAGUUUUGGCAUUAACACCUUUCAAUCUGAGCGAGUUGCAAACAACAUUGCGAAAAUGACAAAACGGAUUUGAGGGGAACAGUAGAUAGUGCUGGAAAUGGCUUUAUUUAAACUUUUCACCAUUUGGGCUUCAGUUCGUACCGUAUUUUGUCCAACCAUCACGCAGGAAAUGUCACGACACCCAGCAGUCUCUGUGAAGACUUCAGGUUUUUGCCCGCAAAUAUCUUGCAUUUGGUUUUCGCGAUGCAAUUUUGAAUAUGCAUAAAAAAUUGGUAUUAAAACGUCGCAUGUAAGACAUUAAUCAGCUGGCAAAGUGGCAGCCGCAGGAGCAGCAGACAGAAGCACCACUGGAGUGGAGCAGGGCUGGAGGGGUGCCACUCGGUGCGAUGGCUAGGUAAAGUCAGUGAGCAGCCAGUUGAGCGCUUGCAUCAUGCGCUUGAUUAAUCUGCAUUUUACUCCCCACAUGCCCCCUUCAUAAAAUAAAGAAAAAAAA
RNAcentral lists this small RNA (1273 nucleotides) under Drosophila ananassae. Its description in RNAcentral is "GF26672". The record is from RNAcentral. Lineage: Eukaryota; Metazoa; Arthropoda; Insecta; Diptera; Drosophilidae.